RNAcentral lists this ribosomal RNA (503 nucleotides) under uncultured Desulfobulbus sp. RNAcentral's name for it is "bacterial SSU rRNA". It matches the Rfam family "Bacterial small subunit ribosomal RNA", at positions 887 to 1382 of the family's 1533-position model. The record is from RNAcentral. Lineage: Bacteria; Pseudomonadati; Thermodesulfobacteriota; Desulfobulbia; Desulfobulbales; Desulfobulbaceae.
GCCCGCUCAGAAACUCAAAGGAAGUUGACGGGGGCCCGCGACAAGCGGUGGAGCAUGUGGUUUAAUUCGAUGCAACGCGAAGAACCUUACCUGGUCUUGACAUCCCGGAGACCCUUAGGAAACUAGGGGGUGCUUCCAUCUGGAAGAAUCUGGAGACAGGUGCUGCAUGGCUGUCGUCAGCUCGUGUCGUGAGAUGUUGGGUUAAGUCCCGCAACGAGCGCAACCCUUGCCUUUAGCUGCCAGCAGUUCGGCUGGGCACUCUAAAGGGACUGCCGGUGUUAAACCGGAGGAAGGUGGGGAUGACGUCAAGUCCUCAUGGCCUUUAUGACCAGGGCUACACACGUACUACAAUGGCCGAUACAAAGGGCAGCGACACUGCGAGGUGAAGCCAAUCCCGUAAAAUCGGUCUCAGUCCGGAUUGGAGUCUGCAACUCGACUCCAUGAAGUUGGAAUCGCUAGUAAUCGUGGAUCAGCAUGCCACGGUGAAUACGUUCCCGGGCCUU